This 639-nucleotide ribosomal RNA is filed under the name uncultured bacterium. Its description in RNAcentral is "bacterial SSU rRNA". It matches the Rfam family "Bacterial small subunit ribosomal RNA", at positions 38 to 724 of the family's 1533-position model. The record is from RNAcentral.
GGCGGUCUGCUUAACACAUGCAAGUCGAACGGAGUAGAAAUACUUAGUGGCGGACGGGUGAGUAACGCGUGAGAAUCUGGCUUCAGGACGGAGACAACAGUUGGAAACGACUGCUAACCCCCGAUGUACCGCAAGGGAAAAUAUUUAUAGCCUGAAGAUGAGCUCGCGUCCGAUUAGCUAGUUGGAGAGGUAAAAGCUCACCAAGGCGACGAUCGGUAGCUGGUCUGAGAGGACGAUCAGCCACACUGGGACUGAGACACGGCCCAGACUCCUACGGGAGGCAGCAGUGGGGAAUCUUAGACAAUGGGGGAAACCCUGAUCUAGCCAUGCCGCGUGAUCGAUGAAGGCCUUAGGGUUGUAAAGAUCUUUCAGUUGGGAAGAUAAUGACGGUACCAACAGAAGAAGCCCCGGCUAACUCCGUGCCAGCAGCCGCGGUAAUACGGAGGGGGCUAGCGUUAUUCGGAAUUACUGGGCGUAAAGCGCACGUAGGCGGACUUGAAAGUUGGGGGUGAAAGCCCAGGGCUCAACCCUGGAACUGCCCUCAAAACUCCAGGUCUUGAGGUCGAGAGAGGUGAGUGGAAUUCCGAGUGUAGAGGUGAAAUUCGUAGAUAUUCGGAGGAACACCAGUGGCGAAGGCGG